CCUACGGGAGGCUGCAGUCGAGGAUCUUCGGCAAUGGGCGCAAGCCUGACCGAGCGACGCCGCGUGGGCGACGAAGGCCUUAGGGUUGUAAAGCCCUGUCGAGGGGGAGAAAAGGCAACUUGAUCUAUCCCUGGAGGAAGCACGGGCUAAGUUCGUGCCAGCAGCCGCGGUAAGACGAACCGUGCGAACGUUGUUCGGAAUCACUGGGCUUAAAGGGCGCGUAGGCGGGCUGCCAAGUUUGGGGUGAAAUCCUCCGGCUCAACCGGAGAACGGCCUCAAAUACUGGCGGUCUCGAGGGGGGUAGGGGCAUGCGGAACUAUGCGUGGAGCGGUGAAAUGCGUUGAUAUGCAUAGGAACUCCGGUGGCGAAGGCGGCGUGCUGGACCCUUUCUGACGCUGAGGCGCGAAAGCCAGGGGAGCAAACGGGAUUAGAUACCCCGG
Molecule: ribosomal RNA, 440 nt
Filed under: uncultured bacterium
Lineage: Bacteria
Description: bacterial SSU rRNA
Rfam family: Bacterial small subunit ribosomal RNA
Source: RNAcentral